ACACUCCUACGGGAGGCAGCAGUGGGGAAUAUUGGACAAUGGGCGCAAGCCUGAUCCAGCCAUGCCGCGUGAGUGAUGAAGGCCCUAGGGUUGUAAAGCUCUUUCACCGGUGAAGAUAAUGACGGUAACCGGAGAAGAAGCCCCGGCUAACUUCGUGCCAGCAGCCGCGGUAAUACGAAGGGGGCUAGCGUUGUUCGGAUUUACUGGGCGUAAAGCGCACGUAGGCGGACUAUUAAGUCAGGGGUGAAAUCCCGGGGCUCAACCCCGGAGCUGCCUUUGAUACUGGUAGUCUUGAGUUCGAGAGAGGUGAGUGGAAUUCCGAGUGUAGAGGUGAAAUUCGUAGAUAUUCGGAGGAACACCAGUGGCGAAGGCGGCUCACUGGCUCGAUACUGACGCUGAGGUGCGAAAGCGUGGGGAGCAAACAGGAUUAGAAACCCCGGUAGUCCC
This 447-nucleotide ribosomal RNA is filed under the name uncultured organism. RNAcentral's name for it is "partial 16S ribosomal RNA". It matches the Rfam family "Bacterial small subunit ribosomal RNA", at positions 333 to 797 of the family's 1533-position model. The record is from RNAcentral.